CCUAUGUUACCCAACCGCAACUCCUCUUCUCCUUUCUUACCCUUCCGUCUCCGGCAGGCUGCAAUCUCGGGCAGAGUACACCGGCUUGGACAACGCAAGGCAAGCUGUGAUCUUUCUCUCUGUUUUGACGCGGUGAGGAUCUGGGAAGGACUCCGAAUAAGAAGCUGUGGUGGCAUCGUCUCCGGCGACCUUUUCCUUGGUUUGUAGAGCGCCAGUGUCUCCUCUCCGGCAAGCCGCAACUCUGGCAAGUAGACGGCAGUGUUGGGUUGAAGCAUGGCUGGGCAGUGGAUGGCGAAAGUGGCGGUGGCAGUUUGGAUGAGUCUACGGCGAGCGGGCUCCUUCUCUUCCGGCGACGGCGGCGGUGCUUGGAGGAGGUUCUCCGGCUUGGUGGCAGUUCGUGGUGCCGGUGGGUGGAGGGUGCCACCGUGUUCCGCCCGCGGAAACGCUACAUGAAGAAGAAGAAGAAGAAGGAUGGCGUGGUUGGGUAGCUUUGGAGAGCGCGCUAGUGGCCUGUAGAUAGCUUUGUCUCUUCCUUUAAUAGUUGUUGAGGCCUGUGAGCCUAAGUAGUUGAAUAGUUAGACUGUUGUAGUUGUAGUAUCUGCCUGUGCACCUAUGUUUGAUAUAGGUGUGGCAUAGCAUCUCCCAGAUUUAUGUAGUUAGCUUCCGCUGUUCUUAUGUUGAUGUUUAGACUGUUAAUCCCUUUAAAUUAAGUUUUAAAAAUUGUUGAAA
Molecule: long non-coding RNA, 729 nt
Organism: Ipomoea nil (Japanese morning glory)
Lineage: Eukaryota; Viridiplantae; Streptophyta; Magnoliopsida; Solanales; Convolvulaceae
Exons: 2
Source: RefSeq, a predicted model, not a curated record